GUGCUCAGUUCAGCAGCACGUAUACUAAAAUCGGAAUGAUACAGAGAAGAUUAGCAUGGCCCCUGCGCAAGGAUGACACACAAAUUUGUGAAGUGUUCUAUAUUUAA
This is a small nuclear RNA of Ailuropoda melanoleuca (giant panda), 107 nucleotides long. Lineage: Eukaryota; Metazoa; Chordata; Mammalia; Carnivora; Ursidae. The record is from Ensembl.